RNAcentral lists this non-coding RNA (459 nucleotides) under Volvox carteri f. nagariensis. Its description in RNAcentral is "Eukaryotic large subunit ribosomal RNA". It matches the Rfam family "Eukaryotic large subunit ribosomal RNA", at positions 24 to 478 of the family's 3401-position model. The record is from Rfam by way of RNAcentral. Lineage: Eukaryota; Viridiplantae; Chlorophyta; Chlorophyceae; Chlamydomonadales; Volvocaceae.
CCCGCUGAACUUAAGCAUAUCAUUAAGCGGUGGAAAAGAAACUAACCAGGAUAACCUAGUGAGGGCGAGCGAACCGGAAAUAGCCCAUCUUGAAAAUCUCCCCUUGGAGAAUUGUAGUCUACAGAAGCGCGCUCGUGGGCUGGCGGAAUCGAAUCCCGCGUUGGAUCAAAUGCCGCGUCAGAGAGGUCGAAAACCCCCUCGUCGGUUCCUGCCUAGUCCUCUCACGAGGUGCUUUCCACGAGUCGGGCUGUGUUGGGGAAUGCAGCCCUAAUUUGGAGGUAAAUCCCUUCUAAGGCUAAAUACUGCUGAGAGACCGAUAGCGAACAAGUACCGUGAGGGAAAGAUGAAAAUAACUUUGAAAAGAGAGUUAAAAGUGCUUGAAAUUGUUGAGAGAGGGAAGCGAUUAGCGCUUGUGUGUGCGCCCAGGCUUCAGUGUGCCCAACGGCCCAUUGAAUGUGC